AUACGUAUGGUGCAAGCGUUGUUCGGAAUUACUGGGCAUAAAGCGCGCGUAGGCGGCCGAGUCAGUCGGGCGUGAAAGCCCAGGGCUCAACCCUGGAAGGGCGUCCGAUACUGCUCGGCUUGAGUACGGGAGAGGAGAGUGGAAUUCCCAGUGUAGCGGUGAAAUGCGUAGAUAUUGGGAGGAACACCGGUGGCGAAGGCGGCUCUCUGGACCGUUACUGACGCUGAGGUGCGAAAGCUAGGGGAGCAAACAGGAUUAGAAACCCCGGUAGUCC
This 274-nucleotide ribosomal RNA is filed under the name uncultured bacterium. RNAcentral describes it as "partial 16S ribosomal RNA". It matches the Rfam family "Bacterial small subunit ribosomal RNA", at positions 523 to 796 of the family's 1533-position model. The record is from RNAcentral.